This is a long non-coding RNA of Myripristis murdjan (pinecone soldierfish), 1732 nucleotides long. RefSeq lists it as uncharacterized. The transcript is spliced from 2 exons. The record is from RefSeq and is a predicted model, not a curated record. Lineage: Eukaryota; Metazoa; Chordata; Actinopteri; Holocentriformes; Holocentridae.
GUCGGAGAUCGGAAAUGGUCGGAGCGGCAAGGCGGCCAAGCGGCCAAGCGGCCGGCCAGGCGGUCAGGCGGUCCGGAGGCCGGCGCCGAGGAAAAUGCCGAGGGAGGCCAGAGAGACGGCAGGACAGGUGUCCUGACAAAUAGAGCUACCUCUCAGAAUGACCUACCAACACGAUGUGCGCAUGUGCAGAGCGAAAAAAAUGUAAAAAAAAAUUUUUCAGAGGACACGCCCAUAAUUUUGAGCUACCCGGCGUGAUCUUCAUCUAUGGUGACGGUUGGAAGUGCGGUCUUUGACAGGUAAACGAAAUUUAAAAGUGUAGAUUAUAAUCUUAUCUCUAAAAUUAGCAAGAUAAAAAAUCGAAAAUGUCUUAUUUUUCAGGUGUAUCAAAUAGUUUAUGACAAGUAAACUAACUGUUUGGGUGCAUUGAAAUAACGUAUUAUAAGCAUGUUUUAGCUGCUGCAGAUGGAGCUAACGUUAAUUAGAAAUACUUUAUAUGCAGUUAACUAUUUUAUUUUAUUAUUAUUAUUAUUAUUUUGCUAGCUUUCUUACCGAGUUUUGCUAGUAUCUUGCACUCUUUGAUACUACAUUUAUAGAGGUAGUAGGUCAUUCUGAUGGAUAUUUGCUACCUGACAGAAUGUGCUACUCUGCUUAUAACCACAUUUAUAGAGGUAGUAGGUCAUUCUGAUGGAUAUUUGCUACCUGACAGAAUGUGCUACUCUACUUAUAACUACAUUUGUGGAGGUAGUAGGUCAUUCUGAUAGAUAUUUGCUACUUGACAGAAUGUGCUACUCUACUUAUAACUACAUUUGUGGAGGUAGUAGGUCAUUCUGAUAGAUAUUUGCUACCUGACAGAAUGUGCUACUCUACUUAUAACUACAUUUAUGGAGGGUCAUUCUGAUAGAUAUUUGCUACCUGACAGAAUGUGCUACUCUACUUAUAACUACAUUUGUGGAGGUAGUAGGUCAUUCUGAUAGAUAUUUGCUACCUGACAGAAUGUGCUACUCUACUUAUAACUACAUUUAUGGAGGUAGUAGGUCAUUCUGAUGGAUAUUUGCUACUUGACAGAAUGUGCUACUCUACUUAUAACUACAUUUGUGGAGGUAGUAGGUCAUUCUGAUAGAUAUUUGCUACUUGACAGAAUGUGCUACUCCACUCAUAGCCACAUUUAUAGAGGCUGUAUGUCUGCUUCUCACACAUAUCUGACCUGAAUCCUUACUAAACAGUGUUUUUUUGCUAGGGUAGGUCAUUUCCAGUGAGAAGCUUAGUUAAUCAGACUAGUCUGAUAGGAUGAGCUACUGGUAGCUCAUCCUGAGAGGGUAGCGCAACUUUUCAGAACACCGGCCAGAAGGGAGACGGGAGCGCACAGGUGGGAGGAAGGAGUUGGCGCGUGACACCCUCGCAAUGGAGAGGCGGACGGCACCGUGGGUCGGCUGGAGCGGCUAUAGUUGAUAGCAGCGGCCGGGACGGACAAGGGGUUUCCCCGGAGGACGCCAGCGAGUCGUCACGUUGUCGCCAACGCGAAAGUACUCCGGCCUGGGUCGUCAGCUCUGCUGCGACCCAGGAACUGUGUUGUUACAACGCGGUGAUCCGGUGGCAGAAGCAUGGCGCCAGGACCCACGAACGGGACUAGGGUCGGCCAAGGAUUACACGGCAGCUACCGAGGAACCUUAUGGACUUGUUGAGACUGUGGGUUGGGGAACAACCAUUGUAAAUAAAUUCCCUUUUUAUGGUA